AUACUGGAGUGAUGGAGGUAGAUAUGUAUAGGGGACAGGGAUACUGGAGUGAUGGAGGUAGAUAUGUAUAGGGGGAAGGAGACAGGGAUACUGGAGUGAUGGAGGUAGAUAUGUAUAGGGGACAGGGAUACUGGAGUGAUGGAGGUAGAUGUGUAUAGGGGACAGGGAUACUGGAGUGAUGGAGGUAGAUAUGUAUAGGGGAAGGAGACAGGGAUACUGGAGUGAUGGAGGUAGAUAUGUAUAGGAGACAGGGAUACUGGAGUGAUGGAGGUAGAUAUGUAUAGGGGACAGGGAUACUGGAGUGAUGGAGGUAGAUAUGUAUAGGGGGAAGGAGACAGGGAUACUGGAGUGAUGGAGGUAGAUAUGUAUAGGGGACAGGG
This 380-nucleotide long non-coding RNA is filed under the name Salmo salar (Atlantic salmon). RNAcentral's name for it is "lncRNA (ENSSSAG00000101509.1)". The record is from RNAcentral. Lineage: Eukaryota; Metazoa; Chordata; Actinopteri; Salmoniformes; Salmonidae.